AUUGAACGCUGGCGGCAAGCCUAACACAUGCAAGUCGAACGAGUGGCGGACGGGUGAGUACUGUCUGGGAAACUGCCUGAUGGAGGGGGAUAACUACUGGAAACGGUAGCUAAUACCGCAUACCAUCGGAUGUGCCCCGAUGGGAUUAGCUAGUAGGUGGGGUAAAGGCGCACCAAGGCGACGAUCCCUAGCUGGUCUGCGAGGAUGACCAGCCACACUGGAACUGAGACACGUUCCAGACUCCUACGGGAGGCAGCAGUGGGGAAUAUUGCACAAUGGGCGCAAGCCUGAUGCAGCCAUGCCGCGUGUAUGAAGAAGGCCUUCGGGGUGUAAAGUACUUUCAGCGGGGAGGCGUUACCCGCAGAAGAAGCACCGGCUAACUCCGUGCCAGCAGCCGCGGUAAUUC
RNAcentral lists this ribosomal RNA (406 nucleotides) under uncultured bacterium. RNAcentral describes it as "partial 16S ribosomal RNA". It matches the Rfam family "Bacterial small subunit ribosomal RNA", at positions 30 to 526 of the family's 1533-position model. The record is from RNAcentral.